Molecule: long non-coding RNA, 1110 nt
Organism: Apis laboriosa (Himalayan honeybee)
Lineage: Eukaryota; Metazoa; Arthropoda; Insecta; Hymenoptera; Apidae
Exons: 3
Source: RefSeq, a predicted model, not a curated record
UUGAAAUUGUUAUUGUUCUGUCGGUGAGUGAGUUGACGAAGAGAUCGAAAUCACAAUUUUAUUAUUGAAUAGUUAUUGUUUAUCACUAUAGCGAAGACGAUUGUAUUUUGUAACGUUUGAAGAGAUUAUAAACUGUAUACAAAUAAGUAUUGAAAUCGAGAUGAGGAAACGGAUAGUGGAAUCUUGAAGAAAAGAAAAAGAAAAGCUAGGAAUUCGAUCUGCAAGGCUUCGAGUCAAUAACCUUAUACGUUUUCUUGUUGGCUCCAACUGCAGGGUUGGAGGGAGUGAAAUAGGAGAAAACAGCUGAUGUCACUUAGGGUGAAACGAUUUUGUUUAAUCCAUGAAAGAAGAAUGGGAUCUCCUGUAGUGAUUUAGAUUCAUUUAAUAUAUGAAAUCAGCUGACAAUGUAUUUCGAGCAAUUUUACCUUGAGACAUUCGAAAAAUUGACAUUUAUUGCGGCAGAAAAAGCUAUUCCCAGCGACCUGUCGGUUUUAUUCUCGAAUUCAAAGGGCUAAACGGUCGAUUUACAACCAGACAGGCGUUGCAUUCGAAAGUAGAGAAUAUUUUUGCCGGUGGAUCUCGGUUGGUGGGGCAGUGGUUGGCACAGAGAAUUCGAAAUCGACGAUUUCAAGUGUCGUGUCCUAGUGCUGGUAUCCACUGGUUUAACAAUACUUCCCUCUAUUUCCCUUUCUUUCUCUCUUUUCCUCGUCUCUGAUCUCUCUGUUCUUCAGGCAUGCCGUAUUGAUCGACGAACACAAGCAGUCGGGAGAACUCGGUGUGGACUUCUAUAUACUAUACACACAUAUAUGUUCCGGUACCCGAAUUAUGUAGCCACACUCAUAUGGCUAUAUGGAGGCAUUUAAAGUUUUAGAUAAACAUAAAUUAGAUUUUUUCGUAAUAAUUUUUUUUCUCGAAUAAUUUUUAAAAAAUUUUAAUUUUUAUUAGGAUUCAUAGUUCUACGAGACAAGGUGAAUUACGAAUAUGUUAUUUUCUUAAAUUGCUUAUGAUUUUUAAAAAGUGCAAGUGUAAAUCGUUACUAUACGUUUCGAAAGUCAAAUGUUACAUAUUUUAACAUAUCGAUGAAUAUGCGAUUUGCGACUGACGUGAUUG